CGGGGGGGGCAAGCGUUGUUCGGAAUUACUGGGCGUAAAGGGUUCGUAGGUGGCCGACUAAGUCAAACGUGAAAUCCCUCAGCUUAACUGGGGAACUGCGUCUGAUACUGGUCGGCUUGAGUGCAGGAGAGGAACGCGGAAUUCCAGGUGUAGCGGUGAAAUGCGUAGAUAUCUGGAGGAACACCGGUGGCGAAGGCGGCGUUCUGGACUGCAACUGACACUGAGGAACGAAAGCCAGGGGAGCAAACGGGAUUAGAUACCCCGGUAGUCCUGGCCCUAAACGAUGAAUGCUUGGUGUGGCGGGUAUCGAUCCCUGCCGUGCCGAAGUUAACGCGUUAAGCAUUCCGCCUGGGGACGUACGGUCGCAAGGCUAG
RNAcentral lists this ribosomal RNA (374 nucleotides) under uncultured organism. RNAcentral's name for it is "bacterial SSU rRNA". It matches the Rfam family "Bacterial small subunit ribosomal RNA", at positions 526 to 897 of the family's 1533-position model. The record is from RNAcentral.